RNAcentral lists this ribosomal RNA (403 nucleotides) under Verrucomicrobiota bacterium. Its description in RNAcentral is "Verrucomicrobia bacterium partial 16S ribosomal RNA". It matches the Rfam family "Bacterial small subunit ribosomal RNA", at positions 355 to 776 of the family's 1533-position model. The record is from RNAcentral. Lineage: Bacteria; Pseudomonadati; Verrucomicrobiota.
UGGGGAAUAUUGCACAAUGGGGGAAACCCUGAUGCAGCGACGCCGCGUGAGCGAAGAAGGUUUUCGAAUCGUAAAGCUCUGUCAUAUGAGAAGAUAAUGACGGUAUCAUAGGAGGAAGCCCCGGCUAAAUACGUGCCAGCAGCCGCGGUAAUACGUAUGGGGCGAGCGUUGUCCGGAAUUAUUGGGCGUAAAGGGUACGUAGGCGGUCUAUUAAGUCAGGUGUGAAAGCGUGAGGCUUAACCUCAUUAAGCACUUGAAACUGAUAGACUUGAGUGAAGGAGAGGAAAGUGGAAUUCCUAGUGUAGCGGUGAAAUGCGUAGAUAUUAGGAGGAAUACCGGUGGCGAAGGCGACUUUCUGGACUUUUACUGACGCUCAGGUACGAAAGCGUGGGGAGCAAACAGG